This 292-nucleotide ribosomal RNA is filed under the name uncultured bacterium. RNAcentral's name for it is "partial 16S ribosomal RNA". It matches the Rfam family "Bacterial small subunit ribosomal RNA", at positions 337 to 643 of the family's 1533-position model. The record is from RNAcentral.
CCCUACGGGACGCAGCAGUGGGGAAUAUUGGGCAAUGGGCGCAAGCCUGACCCAGCAACGCCGCGUGAAGGAAGAAGGCUUUCGGGUUGUAAACUUCUUUUCUUGGGGACGAAGAAAGUGAUGGUACCCAAGGAAUAAGCCACGGCUAACUACGUGCCAGCAGCCGCGGUAAUACGUAGGUGGCAAGCGUUAUCCGGAUUUAUUGGGUGUAAAGGGCGUGUAGGCGGGAUUGCAAGUCAGAUGUGAAAACCACGGGCUCAACCUGUGGCCUGCAUUUGAACCUGUAGUUUUU